GAAAGCCAUAGGGGACCCCCAUGUCAUGUUCUAUAUAUUUCAUUGAAAAACGAUCUUGACCUGGUCAUGUUAUCAAUCCUGACCAUGUCAAGAUUUAAACAUGACCAAGUCAGGAUUUUUACCAUCUUGACCUGGUCAGGAUUGAUAACAUGACCAUCCUAUCCUGACCAAGUCAUGUUUCAAUGUUGACCAAGUCAAGAUUGGUAACAUGGCCAUCUUAUCCUGACCAAGUCAGGAUUUACAACAUGGCCAUCCUAUCUUGGCCAGGUCAUGAUUCAAUCUUGACCAAGUCAGGAUUGAUAACAUGGCUUAGUCAGGAUUGAUAACACGACCAAGUCAAGAUUGACAACAUGGCCAUCCUAUCUUGGCCAGGUCAGGAUUGAACAUGGCGCAGUCAAGAUUGAUAACAUGGCCAAGUCAAGAUUGAUAACAUGACCAUCCGGUCUUGGCCAGGUCAGGAUUGAUAACAUGGCCAAGUCAAGAUUGAUAACAUGGCCAAGUCAAGAUUGAUAACAUGACCAUCCAAUCUUAGCCGGGUCGGGUCAUGAUUCAAUGUUGACCGAGUCAGGAUUGACAACAUGACCAUCUAUCUUGGUCGGUCAUGAUUGCAUUGCGCCAGCAUAUAUUACUUCCAAACGCAGUCAAGAUUUCUUCAAGCGUCAAUCCUGGCCAAGUCGGGAUGCAAUGUCAAGCGUCAAUCUUGGCUUAGUCAUGAUGUGUUUUUCAAACGCAGGCAAGAUUUAUGGUCAUGAUUGCAUUGCGCCAGGAUGUAUGACUUCCAAGCGCUGUCAAGAUUGCAAAUGCAAAGCGCUUCCCUAACAACGAAAACCCGCUAAAAACAUGAAAAAUGUGUAUUGGAUUUGCUCCUCAGCUGACAGUGACAAAUAACUACUAGGUUGCAGUGACUAGGUUGUACUGAACCAUCAACAAAACUCCAGAUAUCCAUGGCGCAUACAAUAUUUUAAGAUUGGUUAAAGACCUACAGUAUCUCAGAUUGACACAUGCUGACUGGAGUCUAUGGCUAUGGGAACCAUUUUGCAGUAAUUAAGAAUGUGCAGGAGAAAGUGGUACACUUCAUUUCAAUCGCAUCUUUCGACAAGCGGAAAUCCAUGGUCUACCUUGAAUAAGUUUAUUUGGCACCAAGACAACCUUUCUCCAAGGUCAAAGAUCAAAGGCCAGAAGUGAUGUCAGCUGGAAAGACACCACAUUGGGUCAAAGAUCAAAGGCCAGAACUGAUGUCAGCUGGAAAAAUACCACAUUGUGUAUUGGAUUUGCAAGAUAUUUAAUCAAUGCACCACUUUCAAGUUCAAAGGAUUGAUAUGGAAGCCUGGAUGUUUAGCUAUGCCAGCGGUUUCAUUCCCUGUGGAUAUUAUGUGGACAUUGAUGGCCAUUGGGUGCUUGAUGCAAUGCAAUGAUGACAUUUUGUAGACUGUAGAAUUCACUUGCAUAUUAUGACAAGAGAUUGCCUUGGAAGAACAAUCUGAGUUGAGUUUAGCUAGUUUUAAUUUUUUUAAAUCAAUGUAUUUUUGUCAAAAUUUGUAUGCUGAUGAGAGCCAUUAAAAUGUAUAAAUAUUUUUUUAUCUUGACCUUUUUUGAACUCACUUUUUUUCAAAUUUGUUUUAGUGUAGAUUCAAAGAAACUCUUUCAGAUUGUCUUUUUUUCCUAUUUAAGCUAAAGCAAGCAUACAUUAUCAACUGUGUCCAUUUUUUAUCUUGACCUUUCAAGUGUCCUUUGAAUUUACUGUAUCAUUUAUUGUACAUUAAACUCAGUU
Saccostrea cuccullata (small rock oyster) is the source of this 1771-nucleotide long non-coding RNA. RefSeq lists it as uncharacterized. The record is from RefSeq and is a predicted model, not a curated record. The transcript is spliced from 5 exons. Lineage: Eukaryota; Metazoa; Mollusca; Bivalvia; Ostreida; Ostreidae.